RNAcentral lists this long non-coding RNA (1012 nucleotides) under Drosophila guanche. The record is from RNAcentral. Lineage: Eukaryota; Metazoa; Arthropoda; Insecta; Diptera; Drosophilidae.
GUUUGCUACAUGAUAGUAGUCUUUGUUUAAAAAAAACAUAUUAUGAAAAAAUUUGAAAACAAAAUUUUGUCCGCAAGCAACCCUCCGCGUCGACAAGCAAACGAGCACUGACAAUAGGAAGAACCAGCGAGUAACUCUGCCACCGACGAGGCCUCCUUAUAGUUUCUUCAUGACCUGACCUGAAUGUCCACCACCCGAUACAGCGAGUACACCAAAAUGCCAAGACUGCAGUAUAAACAGAACAUCCAGUGAGACCCGGGUAGCCAAAGGCCAGUAAUACCUAUUAAUUGAAGGUGAGAUUUAUUUCAUCUAUUUCACCUGCGAGAGAAAAUAUCGCAUUGUUAUAAAGGAUGUUAUGGAUUCUGCAGCGACAAAUAUCGUAAGCUAUAUAUAGUUGAUUGGCUUCUUGCGGAAAAUAAAUGGGCAAUAUCACACCAUCAUCAGAAUUACCAGCUGACUACAUAUGGCCACAACGUCCAGAUACCAAUGUUUGAGAAGCCACAAUUUUGCAUCGUCAUUGGUCACAAAGAUCGCCUUAACCCCCGUUGCCGCAAGCAGCACCAUGUGUGGUGCAGAGAAACGGUGGCGUUAUCCAUGCUGGAUCGCCUGGUAUGCCAGCUUUAACUUGUAUGGUGCAGAUUUUCAUUACAAAGCUGCGCCUCGUCGACUUGUUCUCGAAGGAAUUGUUGUACGUCAAGUCAUGUGUAGUGCUUCUCCCGAAGCACUUUUGGCACCUGAAGGGAUUUCCUUACAAUGCAAGAAUGAACUUUCAGAGACUAAAUACUUUUACAUUAUACAGACGAAGAAAACUUUCUUCUUAGUGAACUUUUGGGGCACCGGCAGCUUCUUUAUAACCUCUGCAGCGUUGUUUAUUCUUUUGUCAUGGCAGCAGUUACCGCAUCGCAUCUCGUUGACUAAUUCUAUCGAUUUGCUGCGACGGUUAUCCCUAGAUCUGUACAUGAUCUGGAACAGUCCGUCGAAAAGCUUUUGCACAUCGCACAUAAUUGUUUGU